RNAcentral lists this ribosomal RNA (35 nucleotides) under Scolecofusariella peltigerae. RNAcentral's name for it is "Scolecofusarium ciliatum partial 28S ribosomal RNA". The record is from RNAcentral. Lineage: Eukaryota; Fungi; Ascomycota; Sordariomycetes; Hypocreales; Nectriaceae.
UUUGACCUCGAAUCAGGUAGGAAUACCCGCUGAAC